Molecule: ribosomal RNA, 486 nt
Filed under: uncultured bacterium
Lineage: Bacteria
Description: partial 16S ribosomal RNA
Rfam family: Bacterial small subunit ribosomal RNA
Source: RNAcentral
GAUGAACGCUGGCGGCGUGCCUAAUACAUGCAAGUCGAACGCUGGAGAUCUAGCUUGCUAGAUCGAAGGAGUGGCGAACGGGUGAGUAAUACAUAAGCAACCUACCCACGAAGACUGGGAUAAUCUCUGGAAACGGGGACUAAUACCGGAUAGGUAAUCGGAAGGCAUCUUCUGGUUAUUAAAGGUUAAAAACACUGGUGGAUGGGCUUAUGGCGCAUUAGUUAGUUGGUGAGGUAACGGCCCACCAAGACGAUGAUGCGUAGCCGGCCUGAGAGGGUGAACGGCCACAUUGGGACUGAGACACGGCCCAGACUCCUACGGGAGGCAGCAGUAGGGAAUUUUCGGCAAUGGGGGCAACCCUGACCGAGCAGCGCCGCGUGAGUGAAGACGGCCUUCGGGUUGUAAAGCUCUGUUGUAAGGGAAGAACGGUAGAUAGAGAAUAUCUAAGUGACGGUACCUUACCAGAAAGCCACGGCUAACUACGUG